Long non-coding RNA from Leopardus geoffroyi (Geoffroy's cat), 758 nucleotides. RefSeq lists it as uncharacterized. The transcript is spliced from 5 exons. The record is from RefSeq and is a predicted model, not a curated record. NCBI's taxonomy places the organism in Eukaryota, Metazoa, Chordata, Mammalia, Carnivora, Felidae.
CCCCCCGCCUUUUGGCCCAGUUCGGGGAAUCUGGGUGGGUUAACCUUCGCCCAGCUAGUUUACAUUUCCUCAGGCAGGCUUGCUGAGAGAUGGAUGGUGCGUGAGCGAUGGGGAUGCCCACACCGCAUUCCUUCCUUCUCCUAAUGGCUCCCCUUUCUCCGUGUUUCACUUCAUGACUGCUCUAGGAGGCUGUGGGUCCCAAAUUAUCUCUUCAGUCCAUCUAAGAAAAACAAUGGGAUUGCCAGAAACACAUUCACAUUGAGGAUAUUUUCCUUCUCUGCAUAGUCAAGAUCGGUUCAUCACCCACUAUGACUGUGUUUUAGCUCCUAGGAAGAGAGGAAGAAAAAGUACAGGAAUACUCAUUUUGGGGAGCCCAAAUGAGAAGUUUGUCUCCCCUGCUGGACACAUCAUGUGGAGAGGAGAGUCUCUGAGAUUUUAUGUACAGGAAGAGAGGGAUAGUCAUCGCAGAGACCCAGUCGAGCGUCUAGACGACUCCAGUUGCCAUCUGACUAUAACUGCAUGAGAGACCCUGAGUAAGACCAGCAGAAGAACUUCCCAGUGGAGCCAGCUAAUCCACAGAACAUUCUGCAAGAGAGGAAUUAACUCAAACUAGAACUGAGGAGGUCUGCAAGGAAACAUAACAAGAAAUACAGCAUUUCUAAGACACUGACUGUUUUGGAUAUGGUCAAAUGUACAGUUUACCUAUAGAUGUGAAACCAUGGGGAGCUACAUCAAGACCUGCUCAAGAUGACUGGAAG